CCCUUGGAAAAGGGCAUCAUAGAGGGUGAUAAUCCCGUACAUGGCUUGGAGCGCCCGAAGCUUUGUGAUACGCUUUCUAAGAGUCGAGUUGUUUGGGAAUGCAGCUCAAAAUGGGUGGUAAAUGCCAUCUAAGGCUAAAUAUUGGGGAGAGACCGAUAGCGAACAAGUACAGUGAUGGAAAGAUGAAAAGAACUUUGAAAAGAGAGUUAAACAGUACGUGAAAUUGCCAAAAGGGAAGGGUAGGAGGUCAGAGAUGCGGCCUGGGAUUCAGCCUUGCUUUUGCUUGGUGUUUUUCCCAGAUUGCAGGCCAACGUCGGUUUUGGGCACUGGAGAAGGGUAGGAGGAACGUGGCACCUCUCGGGGUGUGUUAUAGCCUCCUACUGGAUACAGCGACCGAGACCGAGGACAGCAGCGUACUCGCAAGAGCGGGCCUUCGGGCACCUUUACGCUUAGGGCGUUGGCAUAAUGGCCCUCUACCACC
RNAcentral lists this ribosomal RNA (481 nucleotides) under Moesziomyces aphidis. RNAcentral describes it as "partial large subunit ribosomal RNA". It matches the Rfam family "Eukaryotic large subunit ribosomal RNA", at positions 187 to 649 of the family's 3401-position model. Lineage: Eukaryota; Fungi; Basidiomycota; Ustilaginomycetes; Ustilaginales; Ustilaginaceae. The record is from RNAcentral.